CCAGGCAGCAGCAGCAGCCAGGUGGCAGAAAGGAGCACACAGCAUCCAGGUGGGGGGAACGACUCCAGCAGGGUUUCCAUGGAGAUUCCUCUGGGUCUAGCCUAAAAACAGCAGAUCAGCUGACACCAUUAGCUCAGGACCUAAUUACUGCUUAUUGGAGCAACAAAUGAGGGAGAGGGCCAGCUGCAGAGAGAAGAGGGGCUCGCUCCCCCUCCCAACCCCUCAUGUCCUCCGCCUUCGUCUCCCGUCAAUUGUCAUUUACUUGGAGGUUUCCCUGCAGAAGCUUCCUCAAGCCCCCCAGGCUCUCCUACCGGCUCCCUCCCCCCCCGCCCCUAUUUUAGAACAGAGAAACCGUCCCGUAUCAUAAACAGGUCGGGCCUGGGCAGUUCGGCUUGGGGCUGGUUGAAAAAUAGAAGAGGCCACUGUCACGGCACACCUGGAGGAAGCCACAGUCGGACCUAAUGCAGGCAAGAAGAGCAGAAAAUCUUGAAUUGGGCAUUUUGAGACAUUUUUAGUGCAUCCAUCUUUCAUUUUGCUAUAACACCUGAUAAAAAAGAGUCCCGAUCCACCUGGGGCCUGGAUUACAACAGGCAAAUGCACAAACAGGGGUGCAGCAGGCUGUGAAGUGCAUGCAAAAGGUUUCUAUCUGCACAACUCGAUUGCAGCAGAGCAGCCUGUAGGAAGCAGGACCUAUUGGAAAGAGCACGGGCCUGGGAAUCAGAGGACCUGGGCUGUAAUCCCGACUCCACCACUUGCCUGGUGUGUGACCAUGGAAAUGAACCUAAAGAGAAGGAAGACUGUGGGUCGAAGGUGAUAAGGAGCCUCUGGAAAAUAUUGACGGACAUUCACGAUUAACUGGUGGUCCUAAACCAUCCUUCAACCAUCUCCCUUCAGCUGCUUUCUGCUAUCAAACUCCUGGUCCAUUGCUUGGUUGGAUAAUUCUGACUCGAUCACUAAGAGAAGACACUAAAUAGACUAAAGGCUCCAACAAAAAUGAACAAGACCGGUGUAAUAUUGCGAAUCCAACUUUUUGUUAUAUAUAAAACUCAAAUUUUUACUCA
Ornithorhynchus anatinus (platypus) is the source of this 1061-nucleotide long non-coding RNA. RefSeq lists it as uncharacterized. The transcript has 5 exons. The record is from RefSeq and is a predicted model, not a curated record. NCBI's taxonomy places the organism in Eukaryota, Metazoa, Chordata, Mammalia, Monotremata, Ornithorhynchidae.